GCCGGUGCCCAGGAGGGAGUCUGCACAGAGCUGACUUCGGGCAGCUGCCUCGGAUGUUUGGGUGGCCAACCUCCUGCAGCCUGAGGGGAAGCCAGGCACAAGUAGGCCAGCACCGUCCCGUCCCUCUGCAGAAGCGCCAUCGGGGAGGAAGCCACAGAGCCACACCAGCCUCAGGAAUGGGGACAACACAGUGCUGAGGGGAGGGACACGCAGUGCUGCCAUCCCCAUGCUGGAGACGGUGGGUUCCACCCGGGGGAUGGAGCCAGCGGCCUGGCACCCGGCAUGCUACAGAGCCAGUGUUGCACCCACGGGUGCCAAGGAUGCCCCUCCACACCGGGCACCCCCAGGUCGCCAGGCCAUGUGCUGAGCCACCUCAGGACAGGCAACUGCCAGCCGAGACUGGGCCUCUUCCCCAUGCCAGACUGCAGGCUCCAGGGCAGGCAUGAACCAAGAGCAACACGGAGCCCUUGAACCCUGCCGAGCCUGGCUGCCAGGGUCCAGCAGAUCCAUCCCAGGAGACUUUGGAAGAACAAGACCUCAGGCCUGAGCCUGCUGUGGCCUUCAGGAGACACCAGAUCCGCAGUGUCCGGGGACCAUGCUGCUGGCUGAUCUUCCUGCAGUCCCAGAGCCGGGCCAGAUUAAACCAUGGAGGAGCUGUGGAGACAACGCUGCGGUUUACAGUGACGGCUGGCGGGCGCUGCCCAGAAUAUUUUUCCAGUGAGGUGCUGAUGAGAAACGGCUCUGAGGACCAUAAAAUCGAUCUCGUGCAUUUGUCCCGACAGCUGCUUGUUCCAGGGAACUUUGCUUCAAAUUCAAAAUAAAGAGCCUCACUGGAUGUCAGCCUUGGGAGGAGGAGACCAGCCAGCGAGGCAGGCCCAGCCCAGGUCACCCGAACACUGUCCGGGCAGGUCCAGGGCACCUGCCUCCAGGUGUGCGACUUGUGACAAACACACUAGGCUGCCCACUGACGGGAGUGGGCCCUGCACCAGGCAGGUUCUCUGGGGAACAGAAUCAUGGAGAACGUGGUUUUGAUCAUGCACGGGGUUACUAGUCCGGCCCACGGUCUGGGCGGAGAGUCCACGGCCGUACAGCAAGGAGGGUCCAGGAGCUGCCCAGCCAGGAGCUGAAGCCACAGAACACAAGGGCCAGGACUGAAGCCCCAGCCCAACUGAGGCCCGAAGCCCCCUGGAGAGUAGCCGGGAAUCUGCUCCAGAAGCUGGAGGCCGCCCUCGGAAGGCCAUGGUGAAGACUGGUGCUCUCGCACCUAGCGAAUCUGGGCCACAGGCCUACUGGCUGGUGCCACCCACAUCGGCUGGGCCGCCCCUCUCGGUUGGCUGGCCCCCACGUCAGUCAUCCACAGACACACAGGAGGGCUACAGGAGGGCUUCUGUGGGGGUGGUGAUGCCCUGACCAGUGCUCUCUGCAAAUCCAGAGCUCAGCAGUGCACCUACUUCCCCUUCUGAAGCUUCCUGCUUGGCCAGCCUGACACCCUCUCCUGCGCCCCUCCAGCAUGUGGCUUUGCCCAUGGAGAAUGUGCCCCUUGUCCUGAGAUCCCUGGGGAAUCGGGGCCACCAAGGGCAGGGGACAGUGAGGAUGGCAGCGGCCGAUGAUGGCAGUGGCCAUGCCAGCCUCCCUGCUGGCUUCCCACCUCCUUGGGUGCCCAGGGCCCAGGCCUCCGGGGGGCUUCCUGCCGGCUCUUCUGUGUGACCCCCCCAGUGCCCCGCCCCUGGUGUCAAACUGACCUCAGCCUCACUAGAAGAAGCCGUGUGGAGCCUGUGGGCCUGGCCUCCGAGCACAGCCUCAGGCAGCAGGGUGCCCUAAAUGUGCUUCUCCAGGUCCUGGUCCCCAAAAUGCUCCCCUUGUGUCCAGUAACCAUCGGGAGCUGCUGGUGGCAUUCUGUGUCCUCCGAAUGAAGACUGCUCCACUCUCUGAAGCGACCUCAAGGACAAAGAUCAACUGGCCCCUCUCGUGUGGCAGCAACAGAAUUCAGUUUGAGAAAAGCAAAGCGUGUUUUCGCAACAGCAACUACAAAGUGUCAUGCAAUCAUGCGACAAUAUGGUGUCUCCCUGCACUGACCAGAAAAUGACUUCUGGAAUAUAACGUGGGACAGGAGACACCCAUGAGAAAGGACAGCAUACCCUUCCUCGCGGCGACAGUGGCUCCUAGGGACCCAGUCUGGCCUGGGGAAGCCACCACUCACCAGUAGGAAGAAAAGUGGAGAGAAAAGGAGCCGGGUUUGGAGAGUGACUGGCCACGCCCCACCUCAGGUGCAGCUGCAGCUCUGGCCCUGAGCCAUUUGCUGUAGCAGGGCCAGGACCUGUAGGCCGAUGGUCCCAGGUCUGAGGCAGACAGCACUCGGGGGCAUCUUGUCCUAGAAAGCAGAAGCCACCACGAAUCCCAGGACCACACAGAGAGAUGGGACAGCUUGUUGUGGCUUCCAGUGGCCAGAGGAGGCCCAUGAGGGUCACAUUACAGAGAUUCCAAACCGCGAACCCCAUUCCGCCAUGGGGAGAGGUUCCUACCCUCACCCCGGGGGAUUCUGGGAGGCCAGCCAUGCAACACCCUUCCCUGCAGUGUGACCAGCAGUGACCCUGGGGCCCUGCUCCCUCCGGAGUAUCCAGCUCACCACGGAAGGGAACAGAAUGCAGAUGGAUCCUGGGUCAGUUCCUGGGGCACAAUAGGCUGAGCAUCGCAGGAGCACACCAAGCCCCGGAGGAGAGCGACAGGAAUGCACCCAAGUCUGAGGCAGCCUGGCAGCACCAAGCCAGGGGAGGGGUGCCUGUGUCCACUUGCCCGAGCAUGGGCCACCUGGACAGAGGGCAAGCUGAGGGGCUCCACUCCAUCAUGGGCGGAAGGGCAGCAGAAAGGUGAAAGUGGAGGAGAACCCAGAAGGUCUCAGGGAUCCAGAAGAUGAGGACAAACUGCAGCACCUGUGGCCAAGUCUGUGUGCGUGGCCUGGUACCCAGAGCAGGGCAGGCGGGGGCCACCGAGGGUGUACAGCUUCACCGUAGGAUGAUGGAGCCCUCCAGGCAGACUGGAUCAGGGCUGCACAUUUGUGAGUCACUGAAACCCGCUGCUGACUUCCGCGAUUCACACCGACACUUCACAGUUUAUCUCAAAGAAGCUGUUGUUCUAAAGUUAAAACUUAAAAAUGAAUAAAUAAACUGGGAGAAAGGCAAAGGAACAGGAACACUGCUUUUUGCAGACCCUAGAAAGUCCUUGACUUUUUAGGAAUGACGGCACUAGGUUUGUCACAGACACGGUGUCCUGAAUCAGCUUCUGAGCACUCGGUCCGGGCCAGGAGAGCGGAGGAGCUGGUUCUACCUGCACAGAGUGCGGCCUGGGCCCCAUGUUCUCCCUGCUCGGAACCCUCCCCUCUUUUGUAAAUGUUUGGGAUUCUCCAUGAAAAAAACUUCAAGCUGCAGAUUCGGGACAAGGGACCCCAGCAUCCACCAAUUGCCCCUCCUGCUUUCAGGGGACAGCUC
This is a long non-coding RNA of Heterocephalus glaber (naked mole-rat), 3485 nucleotides long. NCBI's taxonomy places the organism in Eukaryota, Metazoa, Chordata, Mammalia, Rodentia, Bathyergidae. The record is from Ensembl.